GACGAACGCUGGCGGCGUGCCUAAUACAUGCAAGUAGGACGCUGAAGGAGGAGCUUGCUUCUCUGGAUGAGUUGCGAACGGGUGAGUAACGCGUAGGUAACCUGCCUGGUAGCGGGGGAUAACUAUUGGAAACGAUAGCUAAUACCGCAUAAUAGUAGAUGUUGCAUGACAUUUGCUUAAAAGGUGCAAUUGCAUCACUACCAGAUGGACCUGCGUUGUAUUAGCUAGUUGGUGGGGUAACGGCUCACCAAGGCGGCGAUACAUAGCCGACCUGAGAGGGUGAUCGGCCACACUGGGACUGGGACACGGCCCAGACUCCUACGGGAGGCAGCAGUAGGGAAUCUUCGGCAAUGGACGGAAGUCUGACCGAGCAACGCCGCGUGAGUGAAGAAGGUUUUCGGAUCGUAAAGCUCUGUUGUAAGAGAAGAACGAGUGUGAGAGUGGAAAGUUCACACUGUGACGGUAUCUUACCAGAAAGGGACGGCUAACUACGUG
Molecule: ribosomal RNA, 495 nt
Filed under: uncultured bacterium
Lineage: Bacteria
Description: partial 16S ribosomal RNA
Rfam family: Bacterial small subunit ribosomal RNA
Source: RNAcentral